GGAUACGGUCAUGCUACCCUGAACAAGCCCGAUCCCGUCUGAUCUCAGAAGCUAAGCAGGGUCGGGCCUGGUUAGUACUUGGAUGGGAGACCACCUAGGAAGACCAGGUGCUGUAGGCG
This 119-nucleotide ribosomal RNA is filed under the name Pteropus alecto (black flying fox). Lineage: Eukaryota; Metazoa; Chordata; Mammalia; Chiroptera; Pteropodidae. The record is from RNAcentral.